ACGGGAGGCAGCAGUGGGGAAUAUUGCACAAUGGCGAAAGCCUGAUGCAGCGACGCCGCGUGAACGAAGAAGUAUUUCGGUAUGUAAAGUUCUAUCAGCAGGGAAGAAAAAUGACGGUACCUGACUAAGAAGCACCGGCUAAAUACGUGCCAGCAGCCGCGGUAAUACGUAUGGUGCAAGCGUUAUCCGGAUUUACUGGGUGUAAAGGGCGCGUAGGCGGGGAUGCAAGUCAGAUGUGAAAUCUAUGGGCUUAACCCAUAAACUGCAUUUGAAACUGUAUCUCUUGAGUGUCGGAGAGGUAGAUGGAAUUCCUAGUGUAGCGGUGAAAUGCGUAGAUAUUAGGAGGAACACCAGUGGCGAAGGCGAUCUACUGGACGAUAACUGACGCUGAGGCGCGAAAGCGUGGGGAGCAAACAGGAUUAGAUACCCUGGUA
RNAcentral lists this ribosomal RNA (434 nucleotides) under uncultured Lachnospiraceae bacterium. RNAcentral describes it as "partial 16S ribosomal RNA". It matches the Rfam family "Bacterial small subunit ribosomal RNA", at positions 341 to 792 of the family's 1533-position model. The record is from RNAcentral. Lineage: Bacteria; Bacillati; Bacillota; Clostridia; Lachnospirales; Lachnospiraceae.